AACAGCAGCCAUAUCACCCUGCAGCUCAACUGGCUAUCCACUGAAGCUAAAGUAAGUAGCAUUGAGCCUGGUCAGUACCUGGAUGGGAGACCUCCUGGGAAGCUAUGGUUGCUGCUGGAA
RNAcentral lists this ribosomal RNA (120 nucleotides) under Lepisosteus oculatus (spotted gar). The record is from RNAcentral. Lineage: Eukaryota; Metazoa; Chordata; Actinopteri; Semionotiformes; Lepisosteidae.